GCCAUGAAGAAAAAUGAAGCAGGGAGAUG
This 29-nucleotide non-coding RNA is filed under the name Mus musculus (house mouse). The record is from RNAcentral. Lineage: Eukaryota; Metazoa; Chordata; Mammalia; Rodentia; Muridae.